RNAcentral lists this ribosomal RNA (109 nucleotides) under Candidatus Nomurabacteria bacterium. Lineage: Bacteria; Candidatus Nomuraibacteriota. The record is from RNAcentral.
CUUGGUGUCCAUAGCGCCAGGGAAAUACCUGUUCUCAUUCCGAACACAGAAGUCAAGCCUGGUGGCGGCGAUUAUACUGCUAAGGCGGGAAACUAGCAAGAUGCCAAAU